GAAGGGCUGGUUCAGUGGUAGAGUGCUUGCCUUGCAUGCAUGAGGCCCUGGGUUCGAUUCCUUAGCACAACA
This 72-nucleotide transfer RNA is filed under the name Dipodomys ordii (Ord's kangaroo rat). It matches the Rfam family "tRNA". Rfam says of the family: Transfer RNA (tRNA) molecules are approximately 80 nucleotides in length. Their secondary structure includes four short double-helical elements and three loops (D, anti-codon, and T loops). Lineage: Eukaryota; Metazoa; Chordata; Mammalia; Rodentia; Heteromyidae. The record is from Rfam by way of RNAcentral.